CUUCCAGAGCUACUGUUAGGUCAAAGGACCAGAGGCACCACAGGAGUCAUGGGCCCCCUGGGAGAGGGCUGGAGGCCACUGGCAGAGGACCACCCUUCCUCUGCAUAAAGCAAACUUUCGAUAAAUGCCUAACAGAUAGGAACCAGCUGACCGAUGGGGAAUUCGCACCAUUUGGGAAACCAGAGCCAUCAGCAUGAAUCCCUUAAAUCUGUCCUUCGGCUUUUAUGAUGUGGUUGGUGACAUGAAGACACAGUAAAAAUAUUCUAACACUUCAGCUUCUACAUUCUUUGAAAACCUUUUUCUCCCUGCUUUAGUCUUGCUCUAAGCUAUGACACCAGGAAAAUCUCCAAGGAGGCCUCUAUCAGUGUAUCCCUACCUAUGUGAUUGGCCACAACUACUUAGAAAUGAAUGAGGGGGGUCCCGGUUUUGAAAAGAGUCAUAGGUCACUUUAAAAAUACAUACCUAGGUGAAAUUUAAAACUUUUCUCCAAUAAACAUGGAUCACAUAAA
Long non-coding RNA from Marmota flaviventris (yellow-bellied marmot), 509 nucleotides. RefSeq lists it as uncharacterized. NCBI's taxonomy places the organism in Eukaryota, Metazoa, Chordata, Mammalia, Rodentia, Sciuridae. The record is from RefSeq and is a predicted model, not a curated record.